GGACCAAUAUGUCGGUCGUGCCUUGGUACGUACUGGCAUUAUUGGUUUCUCCCUUCUGAAGAACCUUGAUGUCAUUAAUUUGGUGUCUUGGGGAAUCAGAACUGUUACUUUGAAAAAAUUAGAGUGUUUAAAGCAGGCUAAAGCUUGAAUAGAUUAGCAUGGAAUAACGAAAUAGGACGUUUGAUCUUAUUUUGUUGGUUUCUAAGAUCGACGUA
RNAcentral lists this ribosomal RNA (215 nucleotides) under uncultured Glomus. Its description in RNAcentral is "partial 18S ribosomal RNA". The stretch from base 46 to 215 matches the Rfam family "Eukaryotic small subunit ribosomal RNA", at positions 693 to 864 of the family's 1831-position model. Lineage: Eukaryota; Fungi; Glomeromycota; Glomeromycetes; Glomerales; Glomeraceae. The record is from RNAcentral.